Molecule: ribosomal RNA, 409 nt
Filed under: uncultured soil bacterium
Lineage: Bacteria
Description: bacterial SSU rRNA
Rfam family: Bacterial small subunit ribosomal RNA
Source: RNAcentral
CAGCCGCCGCGGUAAUACAGAGGGUGCGAGUGUUGUCCGGAAUCACUGGGCGUAAAGGGCGCGUAGGCGGUGCGAUAAGCGUGCGGUGAAAGCCCGGGGCUCAACCCCGGGUCGGCCGUGCGGACUGUCGGACUGGAGCACUGUAGAGGCAGGUGGAAUUCCGGGUGUAGCGGUGGAAUGCGUAGAGAUCCGGAAGAACACCGGUGGCGAAGGCGGCCUGCUGGGCAGUGGCUGACGCUGAGGCGCGACAGCGUGGGGAGCAAACAGGAUUAGAUACCCUGGUAGUCCACGCCGUAAACGAUGGGCACUAGGUGCUUGGGGGAGCGACCCUCCGAGUGCCGGCGCUAACGCAUUAAGUGCCCCGCCUGGGGAGUACGGCCGCAAGGCUGAAACUCAAAGGAAUUGACGG